This 443-nucleotide ribosomal RNA is filed under the name uncultured bacterium. Its description in RNAcentral is "partial 16S ribosomal RNA". It matches the Rfam family "Bacterial small subunit ribosomal RNA", at positions 338 to 795 of the family's 1533-position model. The record is from RNAcentral.
CCUACGGGCGGCAGCAGUGGGGAAUAUUGGGCAAUGGGCGCAAGCCUGACCCAGCAACGCCGCGUGAAGGAAGAAGGCUUUCGGGUUGUAAACUUCUUUUCUCAGUGACGAAGCAAGUGACGGUACCUGAGGAAUAAGCCACGGCUAACUACGUGCCAGCAGCCGCGGUAAUACGUAGGUGGCAAGCGUUAUCCGGAUUUACUGGGUGUAAAGGGCGUGUAGGCGGGAAAGCAAGUCAGAUGUGAAAACCAUGGGCUCAACCUGUGGCCUGCAUUUGAAACUGUUUUUCUUGAGUACUGGAGAGGCAGACGGAAUUCCUAGUGUAGCGGUGAAAUGCGGAGAUAUUAGGAGGAACACCAGUGGCGAAGGCGGUCUGCUGGACAGCAACUGACGCUGAGGCGCGAAAGCGUGGGGAGCAAACAGGAUUAGAUACCCUAGUAGUC